UGUCUAUUUGCAAAAACUGGUCCUAUUGUGCGAAUAUCGCCCUCACUAUUGCCCUCUUUUGAUUGUGUGUCUCGCGCAUCUCGCGCAAUCGGCGUUGCGCAACCAUGAUUUGUGAAAAAGCCAUAGGAAAAGAGGAUUAAUAUUAUGAAUGAUGGGAAUCAACUUUGCGUUCAGUUACUA
This is a non-coding RNA of Caenorhabditis elegans, 180 nucleotides long. The record is from Ensembl. NCBI's taxonomy places the organism in Eukaryota, Metazoa, Nematoda, Chromadorea, Rhabditida, Rhabditidae.